GACACUCAUCAAUGGACAACUAU
This 23-nucleotide small nuclear RNA is filed under the name Arabidopsis thaliana (thale cress). RNAcentral's name for it is "snRNA_14548". Lineage: Eukaryota; Viridiplantae; Streptophyta; Magnoliopsida; Brassicales; Brassicaceae. The record is from RNAcentral.